UACGGAGGAUGCAAGCGUUAUCCGGAUUUAUUGGGUUUAAAGGGUGCGCAGGUUGUUUGAUAAGUCAGUGGUGAAAGUCUGUCGGUUAACGGUAGGAUUGCCAUUGAUACUGUUAGACUUGAAUAUGGAUGAGGUAGGCGGAAUGUGUAGUGUAGCGGUGAAAUGCAUAGAUAUUACACAGAACACCGAUUGCGAAGGCAGCUUACUAAUCCAUCAUUGACGCUGAGGCACGAAAGCGUGGGGAUCAAACAGGA
This 254-nucleotide ribosomal RNA is filed under the name uncultured prokaryote. RNAcentral's name for it is "partial 16S ribosomal RNA". It matches the Rfam family "Bacterial small subunit ribosomal RNA", at positions 524 to 777 of the family's 1533-position model. The record is from RNAcentral.